RNAcentral lists this ribosomal RNA (492 nucleotides) under uncultured bacterium. RNAcentral's name for it is "partial 16S ribosomal RNA". It matches the Rfam family "Bacterial small subunit ribosomal RNA", at positions 29 to 507 of the family's 1533-position model. The record is from RNAcentral.
AGUGAACGCUGGCGGUAGACCUAACACAUGCAAGUCGAACGGCAGCACAGUAAGAGCUUGCUCUUACGGGUGGCGAGUGGCGGACGGGUGAGGAAUACAUCGGAAUCUACUUUUUCGUGGGGGAUAACGUAGGGAAACUUACGCUAAUACCGCAUACGACCUACGGGUGAAAGCAGUGGAUCUUCGGACCUUUCGCGAUUGAAUGAGCCGAUGUCGGAUUAGCUAGUUGGCGGGGUAAAGGCCCACCAAGGCGACGAUCCGUAGCUGGUCUGAGAGGAUGAUCAGCCACACUGGAACUGAGACACGGUCCAGACUCCUACGGGAGGCAGCAGUGGGGAAUAUUGGACAAUGGGCGCAAGCCUGAUCCAGCCAUACCGCGUGAGUGAAGAAGGCCUUCGGGUUGUAAAGCCCUUUUGUUGGGAAAGAAAAGCAGCAGGUUAAUACCCCGCUGUUCUGACGGUACCCAAAGAAUAAGCACCGGCUAACUUCGUG